UUCAGGCUGUUUUUGACUUGAAGGUGGGAUAUCACAAGGGACCGGCCCCUAUCUGCCUAGGCAUUUGACUGCCUCCUGUCACUUAUCACUCAUAUGUUUAAAUUUUUAUUUUGUUUUAGGACAUCAAACCUCUAAAAGCCUUCCAUAUCCUCACUUUCAAUUGUCUAUAUCCUAUGUCACUAAAGAAACAGAAGCAAUCAGAAGAGAACUUCCAUUAGCUUCCUCUGUCACCAUCUACCCACCUGCAUUGAGCAAGUUAAAUCUUAUUAGUGUGCCUCCUCCAGAGAAGU
This 290-nucleotide long non-coding RNA is filed under the name Homo sapiens (human). Its description in RNAcentral is "HSALNT0081366". The record is from RNAcentral. Lineage: Eukaryota; Metazoa; Chordata; Mammalia; Primates; Hominidae.